AACUUUUGGCAACUGAUCACUUGGUUCUGGCAUCGAUGAAGAACGCAGCGAAAUGCGAUAAGUAAUGUGAAUUGCAGAAUUCAGUGAAACAUCGAAUCUUUGAACGCACAUUGCGCCCCUUGGUAUUCCGAGGGGCAUGCCUGUUCGAGCGUCAUUACAACCCUCAAGCAAUGCUUGGUGUUGGGCCUCGCCGGUCACCCGGCGGGCUCUAAACUCAGUGGCGGUGCCGUCGGGCUCUGAGCGUAGUAAUUCUUCUCGCUAUAGAGUCCCGGUGGAUGCUGGCCAACAACCCCCAAUUUUCUAUGGUUGACCUCGGAUCAGGUAGGGAUACCCGCUGAACUUAAGCAUAUCAAUAAGCGGAGGCU
Molecule: unclassified non-coding RNA, 365 nt
Filed under: uncultured Leptodontidium
Lineage: Eukaryota; Fungi; Ascomycota
Description: sequence contains ITS2
Rfam family: 5.8S ribosomal RNA (bases 1-154)
Source: RNAcentral